CUAGGUGCCAGCAGCCGCGGUAAUUCCAGCUCCAAUAGCGUAUNUUAAAGUUGUUGCAGUUAAAAAGCUCGUAGUUGAAUUUCGGGAUCAAUACGUCGGUCGUGCCUUCGGUACGCACUGGGGUCGUUUGAUUCCUCCCUUCUGAUGAACCAUGAUGUCAUUAAUUUGGUNUCGUGGGAGUCAGGACUGUUACUUUGAAAAAAUUAGAGUGUUUAAAGCAGGCUAGCGCCUGAAUACAUUAGCAUGGAAUAAUGAAAUAGGACGUUCGACCUAAAUUUUGUUGGUUUCUAGGAUUAACGUAAUGAUUAAUAGGGAUAGUUGGGGGCAUUAGUAUUCAAUUGUCAGAGGUGAAAUUCUUGGAUUUAUUGAAGACUGACUACUGCGAAAGCAUUUGCCAAGGAUGUUUUCAUUAAUCAAGAACGAAAGUUAGGGGAUCGAAGACGAUCAGAUACCGUCGUAGUCUUAACCAUAAACUAUGCCGACUAGGGAUCGGAUGAUGUUAUUUUUAAUACUCAUUCGGCGCCUUACG
Molecule: ribosomal RNA, 529 nt
Filed under: uncultured Glomus
Lineage: Eukaryota; Fungi; Glomeromycota; Glomeromycetes; Glomerales; Glomeraceae
Description: SSU rRNA
Rfam family: Eukaryotic small subunit ribosomal RNA
Source: RNAcentral